Molecule: ribosomal RNA, 445 nt
Filed under: uncultured bacterium
Lineage: Bacteria
Description: bacterial SSU rRNA
Rfam family: Bacterial small subunit ribosomal RNA
Source: RNAcentral
ACCAGACUCCUACGGGAGGCAGCAGUGGGGGAUAUUGCACAAUGGGGGGAACCCUGAUGCAGCGACGCCGCGUGAAGGAAGAAGUAUCUCGGUAUGUAAACUUCUCUCAGCAGGGAAGAAAAUGACGGUACCUGACUAAGAAGCCCCGGCUAACUACGUGCCAGCAGCCGCGGUAAUACGUAGGGGGCAAGCGUUAUCCGGAUUUACUGGGUGUAAAGGGAGCGUAGGCGGCAGUGCAAGUCAGAAGUGAAAGCCCGGGGCUCAACUCCGGGACUGCAUUGGAAACUGUCAGGCUAGAGUGUCGGAGAGGCAAGUGGAAUUCCUAGUGUAGCGGUGAAAUGCGUAGAUAUUAGGAGGAACACCAGUGGCGAAGGCGGCUUGCUGGACGAUGACUGACGUUGAGGCUCGAAAGCGUGGGGAGCAAACAGGAUUAGAUCCCCGAGUA